GCCAGACUCCUACGGGAGGCAGCAGUGGGGAAUAUUGCACAAUGGGGGAAACCCUGAUGCAGCGACGCCGCGUGAGUGAAGAAGUAUUUCGGUAUGUAAAGCUCUAUCAGCAGGAACGAGACAAGACGGUACCUGACUAAGAAGCCCCGGCUAACUACGUGCCAGCAGCCGCGGUAAUACGUAGGGGGCAAGCGUUAUCCGGAAUCACUGGGUGUAAAGGGAGCGUAGACGGCUGUGCAAGCCUGAAGUGAAAGGCGGGGGCCCAACCCCUGGACUGCUUUGGAAACUGUACGGCUGGAGUGCAGGAGAGGUAAGUGGAAUUCCUAGUGUAGCGGUGAAAUGCGUAGAUAUUAGGAGGAACACCAGGGGCGAAGGCGGCUUACUGGACUGUAACUGACGUUGAGGCUCGAAAGCGUGGGGAGCAAACAGGAUUAGAUACCCUCGUA
This 446-nucleotide ribosomal RNA is filed under the name uncultured bacterium. Its description in RNAcentral is "bacterial SSU rRNA". It matches the Rfam family "Bacterial small subunit ribosomal RNA", at positions 330 to 792 of the family's 1533-position model. The record is from RNAcentral.